RNAcentral lists this ribosomal RNA (500 nucleotides) under uncultured bacterium. RNAcentral's name for it is "bacterial SSU rRNA". It matches the Rfam family "Bacterial small subunit ribosomal RNA", at positions 791 to 1297 of the family's 1533-position model. The record is from RNAcentral.
UAGUCCACGCCGUAAACGAUGGCUACUAGCUGUCGGGACUUCGGUCUCGGCGGCCAAGCGAAAGUGAUAAGUAUCCCACCUGGGGAGUACGUUCGCAAGAAUGAAACUCAAAGGAAUUGACGGGGGCCCGCACAAGCGGUGGAGCAUGUGGUUUAAUUCGAUGAUACGCGAGGAACCUUACCAGGGCUUAAAUGUACGUUGCAUAGAGUAGAGAUAUUCUUUUCUUCGGACUACGUACAAGGUGCUGCAUGGUUGUCGUCAGCUCGUGCCGUGAGGUGUCGGGUUAAGUCCCAUAACGAGCGCAACCCCUAUCGUUAGUUGCCAUCAGGUUAAGCUGGGGACUCUAACGAAACUGCCUGUGCAAACAGAGAGGAAGGUGGGGAUGACGUCAAAUCAGCACGGCCCUUACGUCCAGGGCUACACACGUGUUACAAUGGCAUAGACAGAGGGCAGCUACUUGGCAACAAGAUGCGAAUCUCGAAACUAUGUCUCAGUUCGGA